This is a long non-coding RNA of Cyprinus carpio carpio, 1051 nucleotides long. The record is from Ensembl. Lineage: Eukaryota; Metazoa; Chordata; Actinopteri; Cypriniformes; Cyprinidae.
GGGAAACACUUGUGAUGCUGUUCCGGAUCGGGAUAACAUGCCAUCAUCCCGUGGAGCUCCCAGACACAACCAACCUUGACUGGAAGGAGGCAGUCAUCCGGUGUCUUGAGAGCCUCCGGUCCCAAUCCGGAACCCCUCAGCCAGCUGUUUCCAAGCCCAGUCAGCUGGCAGUUCCCAAAGCCCAAUCAGCCGGCCACGCUGAAGUCAAGCCCACUGCCGUUCGCAGCUCACCCAAGCCCGCCAGCUCAUAUGGCAAGCCCUUUGAACAUUAAUAUGGCAAGCCCGCCAAAUGGUAAUCCAGCCCCAGAGCUCGCUCCAGUGUCGGCUCCAGCCCCAGAGCUCGCUCCAGCUCCUAAACUCACAGUGCCAGCUACCCGCUUUGCUGUGCCUGCUCCUCAAGAGCACCAGCCGGUGCCAGCACCACGUACGCGCAUACCCAAUCCACAGUCAAGCCCAGGGAGGGCUCCUGUUCCCGAGUCGAACCCAGAAUGAGCUCCAGAUGUCCCGUUAAGCCCAUGGAGGGCUCCUGAUUUCCCGUUAAGCCCAGGGAGGGCUCCUGAUUCCCCAAGUUCAGACCUGUGCCGCUCUGGAGGCCCACUGUCCCGGGUGUGUCCUAGGUGCCUCCAGAGCACCACCCCCCCCCGCCCCGUGAUGUUAUGUGGUGUGAGGUCAUGCUUUCCGGAGGGGGGUGUCAUGUUAGACUCUGUCCCGUGUUUUGUGUGUUCCUGCUCCCUGAUUGAGCUAUUAGUUAAUUUGAUCCCAAGUGUUUCCAUUGAUCCAAGGUGUUCCUCGUCUUCCCCUCAUCAAGUCAUGUGUUUAAAUGGUGUUCCCAACCCAAGUUUCUUUGUCUGCUAUUAAAUGUCAUCCCCGAUGUUCAAGUGUUUGUCUCCUUGUUUCCUGAAAACUCCUUUGACGUAUUCUCUAGCAUCUCCUUGUCCCUUCCAGCCUGAGUAACUGUGACAGUAGUACUCUCCAGGUUAAACAUUAAUUAUUUAUCACUCAAAUCCCUUUCUAUACCUGUCGGUUGCGUAUGAUGGCGUUUUAGUGCCAC